RNAcentral lists this ribosomal RNA (305 nucleotides) under uncultured bacterium. RNAcentral describes it as "partial 16S ribosomal RNA". It matches the Rfam family "Bacterial small subunit ribosomal RNA", at positions 505 to 807 of the family's 1533-position model. The record is from RNAcentral.
ACAGCAGUAGCCACGGUAAUACGUAGGGUGCAAGCGUUAAUCGGAAUUACUGGGCGUAAAGCGUGCGCAGGCGGUUUGUUAAGACAGAUGUGAAAUCCCCGGGCUCAACCUGGGAACUGCAUUUGUGACUGGCAAGCUAGAGUGUGGCAUAGGGGGGUGGAAUUCCGCGUGUAGCAGUGAAAUGCGUAGAUAUGCGGAGGAACACCGAUGGCGAAGGCAGCCCCCUGGGCCAACACUGACACUGAGGCACGAAAGCGUGGGGAGCAAACAGGAUUAGAUACCCCAGUAGUCCCUGUCUCUUAUAC